UUGAAAAAGGGAGAGCCAGAAUUAACAAUGUUGGUGAAUGCUGAAGAGGAAACUGAGGCAGACUCAGCACGUAGAAAAAUACAUUAGAAUCUUCUAAAGUUUUGACAGAAGGAAAUUCAGGCAGAGGCCUGUACUUCUGGGAUGUUUACACUGCAGUUUGCAAGCUUUGCUGUAUGAGAAAAUCCGUUCUAUGCCCUGUGAGAAAAUUUGGCCAUCAAUAUACAUGCUGGCGUCAUAGGAGAACCAUCUGACAUGCUAGCAGUACACAUAGAAUACGCAGUAUGAAACAGCAAGAAAUGGUUAUUUCAUGAGUGGAAUUUCAUGACCUGCUGUCUGAUUUUGGUAAGC
This 348-nucleotide long non-coding RNA is filed under the name Apteryx rowi (Okarito brown kiwi). RNAcentral's name for it is "lncRNA (ENSARWG00000013267.1)". Lineage: Eukaryota; Metazoa; Chordata; Aves; Apterygiformes; Apterygidae. The record is from RNAcentral.